CACGUAGGGGGCGAGCGUUGUUCGGAAUCAUUGGGCGUAAAGGGCGUGCAGGCGGUCGUGCAAGUCCGGCGUGAAAGACCCCGGCCCAACCGGGGGGACGCGCUGGAAACUGCAGGGCUUGAGUACAGGAGGGGAUGCCGGAAUUCCAGGUGUAGGGGUGAAAUCUGUAGAUAUCUGGAAGAACACCAAUGGCGAAGGCAGGCAUCUGGCCAUGUACUGACGCUGAGACGCGAAGGUGCGGGGAGCAAACAGGUUUAGAUACCCUGGUAGUCCGCACAGUAAACGAUGUGCACCAGGUGGCGGGGGGUCGACCCCCGGUACCGUAGCUAACGCAUUAAGUGCACCGCCUGGGGAGUAUGCUCGCAAGGGUGAA
RNAcentral lists this ribosomal RNA (373 nucleotides) under uncultured bacterium. RNAcentral describes it as "bacterial SSU rRNA". It matches the Rfam family "Bacterial small subunit ribosomal RNA", at positions 524 to 898 of the family's 1533-position model. The record is from RNAcentral.